This 301-nucleotide ribosomal RNA is filed under the name uncultured bacterium. RNAcentral describes it as "partial 16S ribosomal RNA". It matches the Rfam family "Bacterial small subunit ribosomal RNA", at positions 509 to 807 of the family's 1533-position model. The record is from RNAcentral.
CAGCAGCCGCGGGAAAACGUAGGGUGCAAGCGUUAAUCGGAAUUACUGGGCGUAAAGCGUGCGCAGGCGGUAAUGUAAGACAGAUGUGAAAUCCCCGGGCUCAACCUGGGAACUGCAUUUGUGACUGCAUUGCUGGAGUGCGGCAGAGGGGGAUGGAAUUCCGCGUGUAGCAGUGAAAUGCGUAGAUAUGCGGAGGAACACCGAUGGCGAAGGCAAUCCCCUGGGCCUGCACUGACGCUCAUGCACGAAAGCGUGGGGAGCAAACAGGAUUAGAUACCCCCGUAGUCCCUGUCUCUUAUAC